This 500-nucleotide ribosomal RNA is filed under the name uncultured bacterium. RNAcentral's name for it is "partial 16S ribosomal RNA". It matches the Rfam family "Bacterial small subunit ribosomal RNA", at positions 30 to 523 of the family's 1533-position model. The record is from RNAcentral.
AUUGAACGCUGGCGGCAUGCCUUACACAUGCAAGUCGAACGGCAGCACGGGAGCAAUCCUGGUGGCGAGUGGCGAACGGGUGAGUAAAGUAUCGGAGCGUGCCCAGUCGUGGGGGAUAACGUAGCGAAAGUUACGCUAAUACCGCAUACGAUCUAUGGAUGAAAGCGGGGGAUCGCAAGACCUCGCGCGAUUGGAGCGGCCGAUAUCAGAUUAGGUAGUUGGUGGGGUAAAGGCUCACCAAGCCGACGAUCUGUAGCUGGUCUGAGAGGACGACCAGCCACACUGGGACGGAGACACGGGCCAGACUCCUACGGGAGGCAGCAGUGGGGAAUUUUGGACAAUGGGCGAAAGCCUGAUCCAGCCAUGCCGCGUGCAGGAUGAAGGCCUUCGGGUUGUAAACUGCUUUUGUACGGAACGAAAAGGUUUGGCCUAAUAAGCUGAGCUCAUGACGGUACCGUAAGAAUAAGCACCGGCUAACUACGUGCCAGCCGCCGCGGUAA